GAUGAACGCUGGCGGCGUGCCUAAUACAUGCAAGUCGAGCGAACGGACGAGAAGCUUGCUUCUCUGAUGUUAGCGGCGGACGGGUGAGUAACACGUGGAUAACCUGCCUAUAAGACUGGGAUAACUUCGGGAAACCGGAGCUAAUACCGGAUAAUAUUUUGAACCGCAUGGUUCAAUAGUGAAAGACGGUCUUGCUGUCACUUAUAGAUGGAUCCACGCUGCAUUAGCUAGUUGGUAAGGUAACGGCUUACCAAGGCAACGAUGCAUAGCCGACCUGAGAGAGUGAUCGCCCACACUGGAACUGAGACACGGUCCAGACUCCUACGGGAGGCAGCAGUAGGGAAUCUUCCGCACAGGGCGAAAGCCUGACGGAGCAACGCCGCGUGAGUGAUGAAGGUCUUCGGAUCGUAAAACUCUGUUAUUAGGGAAGAACAUAUGUGUAAGUAACUGUGCACAUCUUGACGGUACCUAAUCAGAGAGCCACGCCUAACUACGUG
RNAcentral lists this ribosomal RNA (497 nucleotides) under uncultured bacterium. Its description in RNAcentral is "partial 16S ribosomal RNA". It matches the Rfam family "Bacterial small subunit ribosomal RNA", at positions 28 to 507 of the family's 1533-position model. The record is from RNAcentral.